RNAcentral lists this ribosomal RNA (497 nucleotides) under uncultured bacterium. Its description in RNAcentral is "partial 16S ribosomal RNA". It matches the Rfam family "Bacterial small subunit ribosomal RNA", at positions 28 to 507 of the family's 1533-position model. The record is from RNAcentral.
GAUGAACGCUGGCGGCGUGCCUAAUACAUGCAAGUCGAGCGAACGGACGAGAAGCUUGCUUCUCUGAUGUUAGCGGCGGACGGGUGAGUAACACGUGGAUAACCUAACUAUAAGACUGGGAUAACUUCGGGAAACCGUAGCUAAGACCGGAUAAUAGUUUGAACCGCAUGGUUCAAACGUGAAAGACGUUCUUGCUGUCACUAAUAGAUGGCUCCGCGUUGCAUUAGCUAGUUGGUAAGGUAACGGCUUACCAAGGCAACGAUGCAUAGCCGACAUGACAGCGUGAUCGACCAGCCUGGAUCAGAGACACGGUCGCGACUCCUACGCGAGGAAGCAGUAGGGACUCUUCCGCGAUGGGGGAAAGCCUGACAGAGCAACGCCGCGUGAGUGAUGAACGUCUUAGGAUCGUAAAACUCUGUUAUUAGGGAAGAACAAAUGUGUAAGUAACUGUGAACAUAUUGACGGUACCUAAUCAGAAAGCCACGGCUAACUACGUG